RNAcentral lists this small nuclear RNA (159 nucleotides) under Carassius auratus (goldfish). RNAcentral describes it as "U1 spliceosomal RNA (ENSCARG00000019837.1)". It matches the Rfam family "U1 spliceosomal RNA". From Rfam's summary of the family: U1 is a small nuclear RNA (snRNA) component of the spliceosome (involved in pre-mRNA splicing). Its 5' end forms complementary base pairs with the 5' splice junction, thus defining the 5' donor site of an intron. The record is from Rfam by way of RNAcentral. Lineage: Eukaryota; Metazoa; Chordata; Actinopteri; Cypriniformes; Cyprinidae.
AUACUUACCUGGCAGGGGAGACACCAUGAUCAAGAAGGCGGUUCACCCAGGGCGAGGCUUGUCCAUUGCACUCCGGCCAUGCUGACCCUGCGAAUUCCCCAAAUGCGGGAAUCUCGACUGCAUAAUUUAGUGUGGGGACUGCGUUCGCGCUCUCCCUGA